RNAcentral lists this transfer RNA (77 nucleotides) under Modestobacter sp. DSM 44400. RNAcentral describes it as "tRNA_Ala_TGC". It matches the Rfam family "tRNA", at positions 14 to 71 of the family's 71-position model. Rfam says of the family: Transfer RNA (tRNA) molecules are approximately 80 nucleotides in length. Their secondary structure includes four short double-helical elements and three loops (D, anti-codon, and T loops). Lineage: Bacteria; Bacillati; Actinomycetota; Actinomycetes; Geodermatophilales; Geodermatophilaceae. The record is from RNAcentral.
AGAGCCAGUUGCUCAGGCGCCUUAGCACCGCCUUUGCAAGGCGGGGGUUAGGGGUUCGAUUCCCCUCGUCUCCACCG